This 961-nucleotide unclassified non-coding RNA is filed under the name Megascolecidae sp. YN201704-01. Its description in RNAcentral is "partial contains 12S ribosomal RNA, tRNA-Val, and 16S ribosomal RNA". Lineage: Eukaryota; Metazoa; Annelida; Clitellata; Crassiclitellata; Megascolecidae. The record is from RNAcentral.
CUUGAUACUCAGCAUGUGUACUGCCGUUGUAAGCAUACCUCUAAAAGAACUAGUGUGCCACUAUGACUAACUACUUAGCUCACAUACAUCAGGUCAAAGUGCAGCCAAUAAGAAGGUGAUGAUGGGUUACAACCUUAAUACAGACUAUAGACUAAGAAAUAAAAAAUUCUUAUGAAAGUGGACUUGGCCGUAAUUAACUAUAAAUUAAAAAUGAAUAAAAUCUAAGACAUGCACACAUCGCCCGUCACUCUACCCAAAAGGGUAGAUAAGUCGUAACAAAGUAGGUGUAAUGGAAAUUGCACCUGUCGAAGUAUAGCAUAUAAAAUGCUUUUUACUUACACUAAAAAUAAAGUUAAUAACUUACUUCGCCCAUUAAAAACAACCUUAUAAAUCAUUUAUAAUAAAAAUAAUUAAAUAAGUUUAAAUAAUUAAUAAGUACAGAAAUGGAAACAUCAAUUAAAAAAAGUAAUUUUUAACAACUGUACCUUGUGCAUUAUGGUUUUACAAGAAAAUAAUUAAAAAUAUAAAUCCCGAAUUCUAAAUGAGAUGUUAAACUGCUGUUAAGAACUCACUAGUAUCUGUAGAAAAAGAUUUAAAAGACAGUUUAACAGAGGCUACAUACCAUCCGCAUAAGAAUAUAGCUGGUUUUCAACAAAUAUUAUACAUUAAAUCAUAUAAUUAAUUUAUAGUGUACUAUUAUUGAGGAUAAGCCCAAUAAUCUAGGCAAUAAUAUACUAAAUCUACCCAUGCCUAAAGGCUUAAAAUCAGCCACUAAAAAUACUUUACCGUAACAAGCUAAGAUAUAAUAAUUAAUAUAAACAUGCUAAAUAAAGUUGAAAUAGUGGAUAAACUAAAUUCUCCACCUAUAAUAUGUAAAAAUAAGUAUUAUAAAAUAUUAAUAUAAUAAUCAAAUAAUUAAGAAUACAUAAAAAAAUAAUAACUAAUUAAGGAACUCGGCAAA